This is a long non-coding RNA of Diceros bicornis minor, 663 nucleotides long. RefSeq lists it as uncharacterized. The record is from RefSeq and is a predicted model, not a curated record. NCBI's taxonomy places the organism in Eukaryota, Metazoa, Chordata, Mammalia, Perissodactyla, Rhinocerotidae. The transcript has 4 exons.
CUUGAUCGUUCUUGAUUUUUUUUUAGUAUUCUUUGGCAUCUUUAAAUCUUUCAGAGAUUGAGAAAUGAGUACUUAAAAAAAUAAAAAAAUAUACUUUGAGUGAAAAUGUGGUUUUUCACAUUGUAUUUUCAGUGAUUAAUGAAAAUUUAGUGAAUUGAUGACCUCCUUCUAAGUUUUACCAGAACGUGUGUGUGUGUGUCCGUGUCCUUCACUUAUGCCAGCAACGCUUUGCUGAAUGAGGGAGAAGGCCCAAGGAUAGGGAGAGUAGGCUUUGGGAAGCUGGUUGGAAGCAGCGGUACUACAAGAACAAAUUUGAUGUUGAUGCAGCUGAUGACAAAUUCCGUCGUAAAGUUGUACAGUCUUACGUUGAAGGGCUCUGCUGGGUUCUUCGAUAUUAUUACCAGGGCUGCGCUUCCUGGAAGUGGUAUUAUCCAUUUCAUUAUGCACCAUUUGCUUCAGACUUUGAAGGUAUUGCAGACAUGCCUUCUGAUUUUGAGAAGGGUACUAAACCGUUUAAACCACUGGAACAACUUAUGGGAGUUUUUCCAGCUGCAAGUGGUAACUUCCUACCUCCAUCAUGGCGGAAGCUCAUGAGUGAUCCUGUGAGUGUCUUAGUUUUUGAGUGUGUUGAUAACUGGAUUUUUGUCGUACAUUUUGCUAGCA